GUCCAGGUGGCGCAAAGCAGAGCGCUGCAGGUUGUUGUCCCUGCAGGCCAGAGUUCGAGUCCCGGCAAUGGACA
Molecule: non-coding RNA, 74 nt
Organism: Merluccius polli (Benguela hake)
Lineage: Eukaryota; Metazoa; Chordata; Actinopteri; Gadiformes; Merlucciidae
Source: the annotation of a GenBank genome assembly